UCCCAGACUCCUACGGGAGGCAGCAGUGGGGAAUAUUGCACAAUGGGGGAAACCCUGAUGCAGCAACGCCGCGUGAAGGAAGACGGUUUUCGGAUUGUAAACUUCUGUUCUUAGUGAAGAAUAAUGACGGUAGCUAAGGAGCAAGCCACGGCUAACUACGUGCCAGCAGCCGCGGUAAUACGUAGGUGGCAAGCGUUGUCCGGAUUUACUGGGUGUAAAGGGCGUGCAGCCGGGAAGACAAGUCAGAUGUGAAAUCCCGCGGCUCAACCGCGGAACUGCAUUUGAAACUGUUUUUCUUGAGUACCGGAGAGGUCAUCGGAAUUCCUUGUGUAGCGGUGAAAUGCGUAGAUAUAAGGAAGAACACCAGUGGCGAAGGCGGAUGACUGGACGGCAACUGACGGUGAGGCGCGAAAGCGUGGGGAGCAAACAGGAUUAGAUACCCGAGUACG
Molecule: ribosomal RNA, 449 nt
Filed under: uncultured bacterium
Lineage: Bacteria
Description: bacterial SSU rRNA
Rfam family: Bacterial small subunit ribosomal RNA
Source: RNAcentral